Long non-coding RNA from Salvelinus fontinalis (brook trout), 1138 nucleotides. RefSeq lists it as uncharacterized. The record is from RefSeq and is a predicted model, not a curated record. The transcript is spliced from 3 exons. Lineage: Eukaryota; Metazoa; Chordata; Actinopteri; Salmoniformes; Salmonidae.
UUGGACAAAGAGGAAUAACAAUCCAUGAUUUAAGAGAAUGAGCCACAUCAGAUUAUCGUCAUCUCAUUUGUUUUGGUUGGGGGACUGUUUGAAAUGGAUAGAAAUUCUUAUCAACCGAUAACAUAACAUGUUAUAUUUCUUCCAUAUAUUACAGCCUAGUGAUGUGUUGUUCUCAAAUGGAGAUAUAUUUUUCAACCCAUGUUUCAAGUUUGUUAAUUUGCUUGUCAAAUUAGGUUAAAUUUUUUCUUCCAUUUAACCUUCAUUUUACCAUAAAGUCUACGGAUGCUUGUUCCUGCUUUUCAAAAAUAGAUCUAGACGACUGAUCUGUUCAAUGAAUUGAGGAUAUACCAACCGUGCCAGUGAAUGUGUAUGCCAGAUCACAGGAGGUUUGUGGCACCUUAAUUGGGGAGGACGGGCUCCAAAAGAUUCACUAUCCUUCUGACCCUAUGCAGCCAGGUCUCAUCUACUUUUUAACAAGAACAAGAUUGUGCUCUGGUAUUGUGCCUGGCGGACCAUGCACAAGCUCCACCACAGUCUGGAGCUUCACUUCCUGAUCACACCAAGUUUGCCCCUGACUGGUUCUUCGGCCUCAUCAAGCAGCGCUUCCGAAAGACCAGAGUGAACACUUUGUCUGAGAUUGCUGGUGUUGUGAAGGACAGCACUGUGACAGGGGUCAACAUCCCACAGCUGGUUGGACUGGAGGAUGGUACGGUGCUGGUGGAAAGCUAUGGCUGGCAACAACACCUGACUCCGUACCUCAGGCCACUGCCACAGAUCAAGCAGUACCAGCACUUAUGCUUCAAUGCUCUGGUGCCUGGUGUUGAUGUUGCCAACGAGUGUUCAAAUCAUAUAAAAAUUUAGUUGUCACAUACAUGUGAUUAGCAGAUGUUGUUGCUGGUAUAGAGAAACGGUUGUGUUUCUAGCUCUAACAGUUCAGUAAUAUCUAACAAGUAAUAUCUGACAAUUUCCCAACAAUACACACAAAUCUGAAGUAAAGGAAUGGAAUUAAGAAUAUAUAAAUACUUGGACAAGCAACAUCAGUGCGGCAUAGACUAAGAUACAAUAGAAUACAGUAUAUACAUAUGUGAUGAGUAAUGCAAAAUAUGUAAACAUUAUUAAAGUGACUAGUGUUCCAUCA